CACUCCUACGGGAGGCAGCAGUGGGGAAUAUUGGACAAUGGGAGCAAGCCUGAUCCAGCCAUGCCGCGUGAGUGAUGAAGGCCCUAGGGUUGUAAAGCUCUUUCACCGGUGAAGAUAAUGACGGUAACCGGAGAAGAAGCCCCGGCUAACUUCGUGCCAGCAGCCGCGGUAAUACGAAGGGGGCUAGCGUUGUUCGGAUUUACUGGGCGUAAAGCGCACGUAGGCGGACUAUUAAGUCAGGGGUGAAAUCCCGGGGCUCAACUCCGGAACUGCCUUUGAUACUGGUAGUCUUGAGUUCGAGAGAGGUGAGUGGAAUUCCGAGUGUAGAGGUGAAAUUCGUAGAUAUGCGGAGGAACACCAGUGGAGAAGGCGGCUCACUGGCUCGAUACUGACGCUGAGGUGCGAAAGCGUGGGGAGCAAACAGGAUUAGAAACCCUAGUAGUCCCAUA
This 449-nucleotide ribosomal RNA is filed under the name uncultured organism. RNAcentral's name for it is "partial 16S ribosomal RNA". It matches the Rfam family "Bacterial small subunit ribosomal RNA", at positions 334 to 799 of the family's 1533-position model. The record is from RNAcentral.